GCCAUGACCAGAAGGAUGAGUUUCUCCAAUCUCAUUUCAUACCAUGUGCUGCCUUGCCUAUUAUUGUUGGUGCUGGGAAGUUCCGGGGCAGUCUCAGAAAGCGAACAACUCCAGACCUAUAUCAUUCACAUGGACCAUUCCCACAAGCCUGCUUCCUUCUUAACCCAUGAAUCCUGGCACCGUCACACCCUAAAGUCAUUGUCUCAUCCUGUUGAUGAGAAAGAAAUGCUUUUGUACUCAUACAACCAUGUUGUCCAUGGCUUCAG
RNAcentral lists this unclassified non-coding RNA (266 nucleotides) under Hevea brasiliensis (rubber tree). The record is from RNAcentral. Lineage: Eukaryota; Viridiplantae; Streptophyta; Magnoliopsida; Malpighiales; Euphorbiaceae.